UACGGAGGGUGCAAGCGUUAUCCGGAUUCACUGGGUUUAAAGGGUGCGUAGGAGGGCGGAUAAGUCAGUGGUGAAAUCUUCGAGCUUAACUCGGAAACUGCCGUUGAUACUAUUUGUCUUGAAUAUCGUGGAGGUGAGCGGAAUAUGUCAUGUAGCGGUGAAAUGCUUAGAUAUGACAUAGAACACCAAUUGCGAAGGCAGCUCGCUACACGAAUAUUGACUCUGAGGCACGAAAGCGUGGGGAGCAAACAGG
RNAcentral lists this ribosomal RNA (253 nucleotides) under uncultured bacterium. RNAcentral's name for it is "partial 16S ribosomal RNA". It matches the Rfam family "Bacterial small subunit ribosomal RNA", at positions 524 to 776 of the family's 1533-position model. The record is from RNAcentral.